UUUUGUGUGUGCCCAGUAGCUGCAGCAGUGGAAGGCAGUGAUUGGCUCCAGUGCUCCUAGAAGGAUUUGGGCUGAAGCCAGGAGAACAGAACCAGAGGAUUCCCUUUCCAGAGACCAUCAGGCCCCACAUGUCUUAUCUCUCCUUUCUCCCCUCAGGGGUGCUCAGAAUUUCAGUAUGGCAUCAGCAGCCCAUAGAAGCGACUGACAUGGUCAACAAAUUUAUCAAAGAAACCCCCUUGCUUUUGAAGAAUAGUACUUUAUACAUCUGGAUCUGCACAUCCAGGCAAACCCUAUCUACUGUGCUAGCCAGACCAGAGCAGGGGAAAGUGGAACUUUUGAAUGUGAAGGAAAAAAUUAUUAUACAUUUUUUUUUUCUUGCUCAGAAAUAUC
Molecule: long non-coding RNA, 390 nt
Organism: Talpa occidentalis (Iberian mole)
Lineage: Eukaryota; Metazoa; Chordata; Mammalia; Eulipotyphla; Talpidae
Exons: 3
Source: RefSeq, a predicted model, not a curated record